GGGGUAUUAGCAUUGGAAGAUUGAAAAUACAGUAACCCAACAUCAACAUAAGUAGAAUGUAAGUUUUCUACAGUACCUAAGGAAGUGGUGAUUUGCUUUCUUAUACUAAUGAUAUCACGAGUUUCUGUUUGAGUUUCGUGUUGUGAAGUUUUCAAGUUUUGGGUGAAGUCCUUAUGGACAAAGAGAUCAAGAGUGGCAAGAGCUCAAUCUUGGGGAUGCCCAAGGCACCCCAAUUUGAUUCAAGGAUGCCGAAAAAGCCUAAGCUUGGGGAUGCCCCGGGAAGGCAUCCCCUCUUUCGUCUUCAAUCCAUCGGUAACGUUCUUGGGGCUAUAUUUUUAUUCACCACAUGUUAUGUGUUUUGCUUGGAGCGUCUUGUAUC
RNAcentral lists this long non-coding RNA (379 nucleotides) under Hordeum vulgare. RNAcentral describes it as "long non-coding RNA (HVUL_LNC003400)". Lineage: Eukaryota; Viridiplantae; Streptophyta; Magnoliopsida; Poales; Poaceae. The record is from RNAcentral.